UACGAAGGGGGCUAGCGUUGCUCGGAAUGACUGGGCGUAAAGGGCGCGUAGGCGGAUGGCUUUGUCGGGCGUGAAAUUCCAGGGCUUAACCUUGGGGCUGCGUUCGAGACGGGUUGUCUUGAGUGGGGAAGAGGGUCGUGGAAUUCCCAGUGUAGAGGUGAAAUUCGUAGAUAUUGGGAAGAACACCGGUGGCGAAGGCGACUUACUGGACACAUAUUGACGCUGAGGUGCGAAAGCGUGGGGAGCAAACAGG
RNAcentral lists this ribosomal RNA (253 nucleotides) under uncultured bacterium. RNAcentral describes it as "partial 16S ribosomal RNA". It matches the Rfam family "Bacterial small subunit ribosomal RNA", at positions 524 to 776 of the family's 1533-position model. The record is from RNAcentral.